CUCACAUAUGCUCUCUCUCUCCAAAAUAAAUAAACAUUAAAAAAAAAAAGAAAAAGAAAGACUUCUAUUUCUUUACCCAGAUCAUUCCCUAUGAACUAAAAGGAUUCAGAAUUUUUAAUAUUUUUAAUAAUCCAGGAGCUUCUGUGCCUCCUCACUGAAAAAGCAUGUCAGGGAUGGGUCUGAGAUAAAAUCCAGGUACCCCAAAACUAAGUUCCCCAGGUUAUCCCUUGUGCCUUUAUUAAAAAGUGAGGGAGGUGGUUCCUAAACAAAAGAUGGUUUUAAUUCCUUCCACGGUGCUAGAUUGUGAACAACUGAUUUAGACACAUUCUACAUAACAUUUGUCAAGAAAUCAAACAUCUGUUUUUACCAGAAUGUAGUCUGACCAUUGUUCCCUCGCAGUUCGAAGGGCUGCCUGCCGCAGUUUCAUCACAUGGGCAAACCGGGAGCCUGGCCAAUGCUUUGGUCCAAUUUCAUCAGGGCUUCGUGGCAGAUGAACAAAUUCUCCAGAUGUGGUCGGAGGUCCAUGCACACCGGUCUUUGAUCUCCUGCCCUGUUCCAGGGGAAGAGCAGCGCUGACCACACCAGCCCACUGAGGAAGACUUGCCAUCCCCCCCUCAAGACAAACUGCUCUGUCCCUCCACGCCCCUGGCACAGGCGAAUAAACAGAAACCCAGGGAGACACUCUAA
This is a long non-coding RNA of Felis catus (domestic cat), 687 nucleotides long. RefSeq lists it as uncharacterized. The transcript is spliced from 2 exons. The record is from RefSeq and is a predicted model, not a curated record. NCBI's taxonomy places the organism in Eukaryota, Metazoa, Chordata, Mammalia, Carnivora, Felidae.